CUCACUGCCAGUCAGCAGCUCUCACCCUGGACCUGCCCAUGGAGAAUAUGCAGCUUAAGCAACACAGUGGAGCAAGCAAUUAUGAGACUUCCUAACUGGAGCAGAGAAAUGGGGCUGCUGUGUGAAAUUUAUCAGGUCCCAGAACUGGGAUAUAACUGUACACACAAAAUGUGCCCUGGAUGCAGAUACAUCCCCAGCCUGUCUCAGCACUAAUGGGUGAGGAAGAACAGCUCUUUUAUCACAGUCUGAUGAUCCACUUGCACCCACAGCCCAGGCGAAAGAGCCUCGAAUCUUAGAAUAGUCUGUCCCCAAGAAAGAUACAAACAACUGUGGAAUAUAGAAGAGAAUGAUACAGUUUCCAGGCAGGUCUCUAAUGUAAACAUUUGAGGUGGCUCCCUCCCUCCCUCCCCUAUGUGUAACUCCUGUGCUAGAGCGAUUACAGAGUGACAGGAGUUUACUGAUAGCCAGGCAGAUUUGCAGAGCAGAGGAAGGCCCAGCCCUGGUGUGAGCUGUGGCCCCAGCCCGAGCAGCCAGGACAAAGGGCUGCUUCAAGAAAAAGGAGAUUAUAAACUUUCACUGAAUGGAAAAGGGGCACCCAAGCACCUUCCAUCCUUUCCCCUGGCUCUAACACGAGCUCUCAGCUCAUGGGGACUGAAGACAAUGAAAAUCACAAGGGUACAUAGUUGGCUGGAGCUGCAAAGAUAUCCAAAGUGUACCUGUUCCCUGGUUGGCUUAUUUUUAAAAUAUGUCAUUGCCACAACAAACUACAACACAGCUGAAUGAAACAAGCCUGUGGCAUUUCCCAUUGCUGACAAAUACACCCUACCAAGCAAGGUCUGUUCCACCUGCAGCAGGGCUUGCACUUAGCUCCCCUCCCUGCAAAUCAUUAACCAGGUAGGAACAAGGGUUCUCCAAGCACCAUGGCAAGAUCUCUGUCACCUGCGCUCCUUUUAAAGUGACAAUGUCCUGCCUGCCAACAGCUCAACCAGCAGGGAAGCACCAAAAAGUCUCCCUUCCUCUACACAAGUGGGACAGAAAAAACACAGCAAUUUUAAUUUGCUUCUCCUUCUCAGCAAAAGAAUGAGAGAAGAUAAUGGAAUUAUAAGUGGGUGUUUCAGCAAGUGCAUAAUGUGCAGCUUGGAGGGACUUGUACUAUUUGAAUCAAAGACAGACGUAUUGCAUAUCUUAAUUGGACCAAUUAAACAGCACUGCACAAUCCCUUGCUUUCAGAGCCUUGACUUUGUGCCUUUCUUCUCUGCACAAGGGAAACAAGAAUAAGCUUGUUUGCAACAACUCCAGAGCUGGUGGCCCAGUUCAGGACCCACAGAUGUCUGGGUGUUUGACAGGUUUAGCAUCUGCAGACAGGCUGAAGGUGAGCAGCUCAGAGCACACACACAAUUACACUGUCCUCACCCACCCACCUCUGCAGCCUCACCCUGGCUUCUCUAGUGUCCCACCUUGCCCCAGUUUAGGAAGCUGCUCUGAGAACGGAUGGCUCUGAUAAGAGCACAGCAGCCCUGGAAUAACAGGAUGGAAA
Onychostruthus taczanowskii (white-rumped snowfinch) is the source of this 1537-nucleotide long non-coding RNA. RefSeq lists it as uncharacterized. Lineage: Eukaryota; Metazoa; Chordata; Aves; Passeriformes; Passeridae. The record is from RefSeq and is a predicted model, not a curated record. The transcript is spliced from 3 exons.